GAUGAACGCUGGCGGCGUGCUUAACACAUGCAAGUCGAACGAGAAGUGGAGACGGAAACCUUCGGGCGGAAUACUUUAUUUCGAGUGGCGGCCGGGUGAGUAACGCGUGGGUAACCUGCCUCAUUCAGGGGGAUAACAGUUGGACACGACUGUUAAUACCGCAUAAGACUACAGCACCUCAUGGUGCGGGGGUUAAAACUCCGGUGGUAUGAGAUGGACCCGCGUUCGAUUAGCCAGUUGGCGGGGUAACGGCCCACCAAAGCGACGAUCGAUAGCCGAUCGGAGAGGAGGACCGGCCACGUUGGAACUGAGACACGGCCCAAACUCCUACGGGAAGGAGGAGUGGGGAAUAUUACACAAUGGGGGAAACACUGAUGAAGCGACGCCGCGUGAGUGAAGAAGUAGUUCGGUAUGUAAAGCUCUAUCAGCAGGGAAGAAAAUGACGGUACCGGAGUAAGAAGCCCCGGCUAACUACGUG
Molecule: ribosomal RNA, 478 nt
Filed under: uncultured bacterium
Lineage: Bacteria
Description: partial 16S ribosomal RNA
Rfam family: Bacterial small subunit ribosomal RNA
Source: RNAcentral